CUUGUGAGUCCAUUUCAUUUGUUGGGGGUGGAGGGUCAGGGAAGGCAAUCUUCAGACUAGUAGAAAUAUCUAUUAGUAGAAACAUCUACUGUAAGUAAAUAUUUCACUAUCAGGAUGUUGUGAGAUUUCAGUGAGAAAAAAUGUAAAACCACCUGGAACUUAAUAGGCACUCAAACUUGAGUCCUUUGCCCCCUUUUUUCACUUGCCUUAUAGAUGUAGGUGUUUUGCAAGGUUCUAUCCUGGGGCAGGAGGAGAAGGGGACGACAGAGGAUGAGAUGGACUGACUCGAUGGACGUGAGUCUGAGUGAACUCAGGGAGUUGGUGAUGGACAGGGAGGCCUGGCGUGCUGCGAUUCAUGGGGUCGCAAAGAGUCGGACACAACUGAGCGACUGAUCUGAUCUGAUCUGGUCCUGGGUCCAUUCCUUUGACACCUCCUAGUCUUCUCGGAAUCAUCUACUCUCACAGCUUCAAAUGCCUCCUACACACCAAGGAGGACUGUAUUUCUAGUUCUUCUCUUACUAUGGGUCUUCAGAAUGUCUCUUCCACUGUCUACAAAACAACUGCUUCUUGGUGUCCCCUACCCAUUCUCUACCCAACAGGUCAAACGAUUUCACUACCCAGGUUUUCAAGUGCCUAGAAAAACGCCUGACACCUAGUAGAUACAUGCGCAAAUCGCUUUGGCCACCUGAUACCAAGAACUGACUCACUGGAAAAGACCCUGAUGCUGGGAAAGACUGAGGCAGAGGAGAAGGGACAACAGAGGAUGAGAUGGUUGGAUGGCAUCACUGACUCAAUGGACAUGAGUUUGAGCAGCCUCCAGGAGUUGGUGAUGGACAGGGAAGCCUGGCCUGCUGCAGUCCAUGGGGCCACAGAGUUGGACACAACUGAGCAUCUGAACUGAAGAGAUCGUUUAUUGAAUGAAUUAAUCUGUCCUCUCCUCUUUGUCUCCACUGCCAAGAAUGUAGUCCAAGCCCAUAUUACGUCUCUUGAGAAUCAUGUUUAUAGCUCCUGAAUUAGUUUCUCGGCCUCUAGUAACUCCAGCUCCCAUUGCUUUCUCCCCAGUCCAUCCUGUACACUGCUUGCCAUGAAAAAAUUGUAAACAUCCUAAAAAAAUUUCCCUGAUCCUUCAUGAUGUAACCUCAAUCCACCUCUUUAGCCUAUUCUCCCACCAUCACCAUGUUUUCACACUCCAAAUUUCCUGUUUUCCCUACUUCGAACACACAUACUUAUUUCAAAUUUCCAAUUCCAAAUGCU
Long non-coding RNA from Bos taurus (domestic cattle), 1254 nucleotides. Lineage: Eukaryota; Metazoa; Chordata; Mammalia; Artiodactyla; Bovidae. The record is from Ensembl.